RNAcentral lists this ribosomal RNA (503 nucleotides) under uncultured bacterium. RNAcentral's name for it is "partial 16S ribosomal RNA". It matches the Rfam family "Bacterial small subunit ribosomal RNA", at positions 29 to 523 of the family's 1533-position model. The record is from RNAcentral.
AACGAACGCUGGCGGCAUGCCUGACACAUGCAAGUCGAGGGGUAGCGGGAUUAAGCUUGCUUAAUUGCUGACGACCGGCGCACGGGUGCGUAACGCGUAUGCAACCUACCUUAUACUGGGGUAUAGCCCGGAGAAAUUCGGAUUAAUCCCCCAUAGUACUAAUGAAUCGCAUGGUUUAUUAGUUAAAGCAUUGCGGUAUAAGAUGGGCAUGCGUCCUAUUAGCUAGAUGGUGAGGUAACGGCUCCCCAUGGCUACGAUAGGUAGGGGGCCUGAGAGGGUGGUCCCCCACACUGGUACUGAGACACGGACCAGACUCCUACGGGAGGCAGCAGUGAGGAAUAUUGGUCAAUGGGCGCAAGCCUGAACCAGCCAUGCCGCGUGCAGGAAGAAUGCCCUAUGGGUUGUAAACUGCUUUUAUUUGGGAAUAAACCUCUUUACGUGUAGAGAGCUGAAGGUACCAAAUGAAUAAGCACCGGCUAACUCCGUGCCAGCCGCCGCCGUAA